AUUGAACGCUGGCGGCAUGCUUUACACAUGCAAGUCGAACGGCAGCACGGGUGCUUGCACCUAGUGGCGAGUGGCGAACGGGUGAGUAAUGCAUCGGAACGUGCCCAUGAGUGGGGGAUAGCCCGGCGAAAGCCGGAUUAAUACCGCAUACGCCCUUAGGGGGAAAGCGGGGGAUCUUCGGACCUCGCGCUAUUGGAGCGGCCGAUGUCGGAUUAGCUAGUAGGUGAGGUAAAGGCUCACCUAGGCGACGAUCCGUAGCUGGUCUGAGAGGAUGAUCAGCCACACUGGGACUGAGACACGGCCCAGACUCCUACGGGAGGCAGCAGUGGGGAAUUUUGGACAAUGGGCGCAAGCCUGAUCCAGCCAUGCCGCGUGAGUGAAGAAGGCC
This 388-nucleotide ribosomal RNA is filed under the name uncultured bacterium. RNAcentral's name for it is "bacterial SSU rRNA". It matches the Rfam family "Bacterial small subunit ribosomal RNA", at positions 29 to 416 of the family's 1533-position model. The record is from RNAcentral.